Molecule: ribosomal RNA, 937 nt
Filed under: uncultured archaeon
Lineage: Archaea
Description: bacterial SSU rRNA
Rfam family: Archaeal small subunit ribosomal RNA
Source: RNAcentral
GAUCCUGCCGGACCCCACUGCUAUCGGGAUGGGACUAAGACAUGCUAGUCGUGCGCCUCCUAGCCAUGAUGGAGGCACGGCGCACAGCUCAGUAACACGUUGCUAACCUACCCUUGGGACGGAAACAUCCCCGGGAAACUGGGGCCAAUUUCCGAUAGGUGAAGACUCCUGGAAUGGGUCUCCGCUGAAAAGGCAUUUAGGUCAUGCUUCUGGAUGCUGCCCAAGGAUGGGGCCACGGCCGAUCAGGUUGUUGGUGAGGUAACGGCCCACCAAGCCUUUAACCGGUUCGGGCCGUGGGAGCGGGAGCCCGGAGAUGGGUACUGAGACAAGAACCCAGGCCCUACGGGGCGCAGCAGUCGCGAAAACUUCGCAAUAAGCGAAAGCUUGACGGGGCUAUCCCGAGUGCCAUCUGCUGAGGAUGGCUUUUCUUCAGUGUAUAAAGCUGGGGGAAUAAGGAGAGGGCAAGUCUGGUGUCAGCCGCCGCGGUAAUACCAGCUCUCCGAGUGGUGAGGACGUUUAUUGGGCCUAAAGCAUUCGUAGCCGGCUGGGCAAGUUCUCCGUUAAAUCCAGCGAUCUAAUCGUUGGACUGCGGGGAAUUCUGUCCGGCUAGGGGACGGGAGAGGCCGACGGUAUUCUCGGGGUAGGGGUGAAAUCCUAUAAUCCCGAGAAGACCACCAGUGGCGAAGGCUGUCGGCUAGAACGGGCCCGACGGUGAGGGAUGAAAGCUGGGGGAGCGAACCGGAUUAGAUACCCGGGUAGUCCCAGCUGUAAACGAUGCAGGCUAGGUGUCAGGGCGGCCACGUGCCGCUCUCGUGCCGCAGGGAAGCUGUUAAGCCUGCCGCCUGGGGAGUACGGCCGCAAGGCUGAAACUUAAAGGAAUUGGCGGGGGAGCACCACAAGGGGUGAAGCUUGCGGUUUAAUUGGAGUCAACGCCGGG